This is a long non-coding RNA of Hibiscus syriacus, 355 nucleotides long. RefSeq lists it as uncharacterized. NCBI's taxonomy places the organism in Eukaryota, Viridiplantae, Streptophyta, Magnoliopsida, Malvales, Malvaceae. The transcript has 3 exons. The record is from RefSeq and is a predicted model, not a curated record.
AAAUUCUGGAAAUGAAAAUGGAGUAACCACGGACAACAUUAAAGAAGGUAAAAACCUGAACUGUGACUCAACGGACAUAGAAGAUAAUCGUAGCACUGAUAAAGUAAAGCGUGCUGCAGUUACGGCACUCUCAGCAGCAGCAGUGAAGGCGAAACUUCUAGCAGAUCAGGAAGAGGACUAAAUACGAAAGCUUGCUGCAUCAUUAAUAGAAAAACAGUUAUUUAAGAUGGAAGCCAAAUUAGCAUUCUUCAAUGAGAUGGAGGGAGUUGUGAUGAGGGUGAAGGAGCAACUGGACAGGUCAAGGCAGAGGCUUUUCCUUGAGCGGUCACAGAUAAUUGCCGCUCAACUGGGCUUG